This 506-nucleotide ribosomal RNA is filed under the name uncultured bacterium. RNAcentral describes it as "partial 16S ribosomal RNA". It matches the Rfam family "Bacterial small subunit ribosomal RNA", at positions 29 to 523 of the family's 1533-position model. The record is from RNAcentral.
AUUGAACGCUGGAGGCAGGCCUAACACAUGCAAGUCGAGCGGCAGCGGGAAGUAGCUUGCUACUUUGCCGGCGAGCGGCGGACGGGUGAGUAAUGUCUGGGAAACUGCCCGAUGGAGGGGGAUAACUACUGGAAACGGUAGCUAAUACCGCAUAACGUCGCAAGACCAAAGAGGGGGACCUUCGGGCCUCUUGCCAUCGGAUGUGCCCAGAUGGGAUUAGCUAGUAGGUGGGGUAACGGCUCACCUAGGCGACGAUCCCUAGCUGGUCGGAAAGGAUGACCAGCGACACUGGAACUGGGACACGGUCCAGAAUCCUACGGGAGGCAGCAGUGGGGAAUAUUGCACAAUGGGCGCAAGCCUGAUGCAGCCAUGCCGCGUGUAUGAAGAAGGCCUUCGGGUUGUAAAGUACUUUCAGCGGGGAGGAAGGUGUUGAGGUUAAUAACCUCAGCAAUUGACGUUACCCGCAGAAGAAGCACCGGCUAACUCCGUGCCAGCAGCCGCGGUAA